Molecule: unclassified non-coding RNA, 388 nt
Filed under: soil metagenome
Description: partial contains 5.8S ribosomal RNA, internal transcribed spacer 2, and large subunit ribosomal RNA
Rfam family: 5.8S ribosomal RNA (bases 1-120)
Source: RNAcentral
GAUGAAGAACGUAGCGAAAUGCGAUAAGUAAUGUGAAUUGCAGAAUUCAGUGAAUCAUCGAAUCUUUGAACGCACCUUGCACCCUUUGGUAUUCCGAAGGGUAUGCUCGUUUGAGUGUCAUUGUACUCUCACACUUCUAAUUCCUUUCGGGAUUGGGAGCGGUGGACUUGGGUGUUGCUGCUUUAGUUGUGGCUCACCUCAAAUAAGUUAGUGCAACUCUUGGUUGGACAUAGUACGGCGUGAUAAGUGUCUUCGCCGGCGCCUCUGUAAGGAGGGUGGCCGAUCGGGAGCUCUGUGCUUCAAACCGUCUUCGGACAAUCUUUGACAACUUGACCUCAAAUCGAGUAGGACUACCCGCUGAACUUAAGCAUAUCAAAUAAGCGGAGAA